RNAcentral lists this ribosomal RNA (207 nucleotides) under Triticum aestivum (bread wheat). RNAcentral describes it as "partial small subunit ribosomal RNA". Lineage: Eukaryota; Viridiplantae; Streptophyta; Magnoliopsida; Poales; Poaceae. The record is from RNAcentral.
AUGGUGAAUCAGAAACCCCUAUUUCCUGGUGAUUCUGAGAUUGAUGAACUCUUCAAGAUUUUCAGAAUUAUGGGCACUCCUAAUGAAGAAACCUGGCCAGGUGUUUCUUCGUUACCUGACUACAAAUCAGCUUUCCCCAAGUGGCCGUCCGUGGAUCUCGCAACUGUGGUUCCAACACUCGAACCUUUGGGACUUGAUCUUCUCUCU